GAUGAACGCUGGCGGCGUGCCUAAUACAUGCAAGUCGAGCGAACAGACGAGGAGCUUACUCCUCUGACGUUAGCGGCGGACGGGUGAGUAACACGUGGAUAACCUACCUAUAAGACUGGGAUAACUUCGGGAAACCGGAGCUAAUACCGGAUAACAUGUUGAACCGCAUGGUUCAACAGUGAAAGACGGUCUUGCUGUCACUUAUAGAUGGAUCCGCGUCGCAUUAGCUAGUUGGUAAGGUAACGGCUUACCAAGGCAACGAUGCGUAGCCGACCUGAGAGGGUGAUCGGCCACACUGGAACUGAGACACGGUCCAGACUCCUACGGGAGGCAGCAGUAGGGAAUCUUCCGCAAUGGGCGAAAGCCUGACGGAGCAACGCCGCGUGAGUGAAGAAGGUCUUCGGAUCGUAAAACUCUGUUAUUAGGGAAGAACAAAUGUGUAAGUAACUAUGCACGUCUUGACGGUACCUAAUCAGAAGGCCAGGGCUAACUACGUG
This 497-nucleotide ribosomal RNA is filed under the name uncultured bacterium. RNAcentral describes it as "partial 16S ribosomal RNA". It matches the Rfam family "Bacterial small subunit ribosomal RNA", at positions 28 to 507 of the family's 1533-position model. The record is from RNAcentral.